UACGUAGGUGACCAGCGUUGUCCGGAUUUACUGGGCGUAAAGCGUGCGUAGGUGGUUUGUUAAGUCUGAUGUGAAAGCCCUGGGCUCAACCUGGGAAUUGCAUUGGAUACUGGCAGGCUAGAGUGCGGUAGAGGAUGGCGGAAUUCCCGGUGUAGCAGUGAAAUGCGUAGAGAUCGGGAGGAACAUCUGUGGCGAAGGCGGCCAUCUGGACCAGCACUGACACUGAGGCACGAAAGCGUGGGGAGCAAACAGG
RNAcentral lists this ribosomal RNA (253 nucleotides) under uncultured bacterium. RNAcentral's name for it is "partial 16S ribosomal RNA". It matches the Rfam family "Bacterial small subunit ribosomal RNA", at positions 524 to 776 of the family's 1533-position model. The record is from RNAcentral.